GGAGGGGUUCCCGAGUGGCUAAAGGGAUCAGACUGUAAAUCUGACGUCGAAGACUUCGAAGGUUCGAAUCCUUCCCCCUCCA
RNAcentral lists this transfer RNA (82 nucleotides) under Candidatus Pseudomonas adelgestsugas. RNAcentral describes it as "tRNA-Tyr". It matches the Rfam family "tRNA". Rfam says of the family: Transfer RNA (tRNA) molecules are approximately 80 nucleotides in length. Their secondary structure includes four short double-helical elements and three loops (D, anti-codon, and T loops). Lineage: Bacteria; Pseudomonadati; Pseudomonadota; Gammaproteobacteria; Pseudomonadales; Pseudomonadaceae. The record is from RNAcentral.